Molecule: non-coding RNA, 464 nt
Organism: Pogona vitticeps (central bearded dragon)
Lineage: Eukaryota; Metazoa; Chordata; Lepidosauria; Squamata; Agamidae
Source: RefSeq, a predicted model, not a curated record
GUUUCCAGAGACUAGUUUCAUUCAUUGAAGUAGGCAUCAGCAUGUGGACACGAGGUCUUUCUCCAGGUCUGACUGAGGGAGAAGAGACAGAAGUAUAGGGACACAUUGUGGUUGUUCAGGAUGUCUUGACGUAUUGAGAUACGCUUUUUUUUCAUCAAGGACAGGACUGUUUGGAAAUCCAACAAGCUUGAAUUCUCUGGUACAAUUUCACAGUGAGUGAAUGUGAAUGAAUCCGCAUUUCCCUCACAGUGUACUCAUACCCUAAGUCUCUAGAUUACUGAAUGAAGCUUUCUCUCCAUUUGGCUGAUGAAGGAGCUGCUGGGGCAACAGAAGACCAUCAGGCAUACAGCUGGUGCAGAGCGGGCCUUUUCUGGAUAUGGAGGAUAGGCCAAACGUCAUGAGCAUCACCUCACAAAGCAGAUAGAAGCCUUCCCCCCCAUUCUCAUAUUUUCAUCAUUAAUUGA